This 819-nucleotide ribosomal RNA is filed under the name Mycobacterium sp. RNAcentral describes it as "bacterial SSU rRNA". It matches the Rfam family "Bacterial small subunit ribosomal RNA", at positions 109 to 928 of the family's 1533-position model. The record is from RNAcentral. Lineage: Bacteria; Bacillati; Actinomycetota; Actinomycetes; Mycobacteriales; Mycobacteriaceae.
AGNAACACGUGGGCAAUCUGCCCUGCACUUCGGGAUAAGCCUGGGAAACUGGGUCUAAUACCGGAUAGGACCUUUAGACGCAUGUCUUUUGGUGGAAAGCUUUUGCGGUGUGGGAUGGGCCCGCGGCCUAUCAGCUUGUUGGUGGGGUGAUGGCCUACCAAGGCGACGACGGGUAGCCGGCCUGAGAGGGUGUCCGGCCACACUGGGACUGAGAUACGGCCCAGACUCCUACGGGAGGCAGCAGUGGGGAAUAUUGCACAAUGGGCGCAAGCCUGAUGCAGCGACGCCGCGUGGGGGAUGACGGCCUUCGGGUUGUAAACCUCUUUCACCAUCGACGAAGGUCCGGGUUUUCUCGGAUUGACGGUAGGUGGAGAAGAAGCACCGGCCAACUACGUGCCAGCAGCCGCGGUAAUACGUAGGGUGCGAGCGUUGUCCGGAAUUACUGGGCGUAAAGAGCUCGUAGGUGGUUUGUCGCGUUGUUCGUGAAAUCUCACGGCUUAACUGUGAGCGUGCGGGCGAUACGGGCAGACUAGAGUACUGCAGGGGAGACUGGAAUUCCUGGUGUAGCGGUGGAAUGCGCAGAUAUCAGGAGGAACACCGGUGGCGAAGGCGGGUCUCUGGGCAGUAACUGACGCUGAGGAGCGAAAGCGUGGGGAGCGAACAGGAUUAGAUACCCUGGUAGUCCACGCCGUAAACGGUGGGUACUAGGUGUGGGUUUCCUUCCUUGGGAUCCGUGCCGUAGCUAACGCAUUAAGUACCCCGCCUGGGGAGUACGGCCGCAAGGCUAAAACUCAAAGGAAUUGACGGGGGCCCGCACAA